CUCAUUUGGGAAAGCAACUAGGGUUUGGUGCUCAAAUAAUGGGAUUCGGAGCCUCUGAAGUUUGCCGUGGGGGGAGUGAAUGAGGCCUCAAAAAAGAGAGAUGGGAUGAGGCUGGUUGCCCUCUGACCACCAGAGCCCAUGAUUUCUCCUCCACAAUCAACCACCCUCUCUCUCUCUCUCUCUCUUGAUUGUGUGUGCGCGCGCGCGCGCAUGCUUGCUGGGAGCUCAUAAUUUCAGGAAAGAUCAGUCAGAGCUCCCGAGGAAACAGGGCAUGAAAAUGGAAAUGGAAACAAGUAUCUAAUUGUCCAAAUGCUCCACCUCAUCAGGUGUUUACCCAUUUAGCAUUUCCCAUUUUUUUCGUACGCACCAGCCUUCCCAGUACUAAAUAGGCUGUGACGAUGGAUUCUGAGGAUGAUGGUUCGGGCCUGGAGGAUCCGACCCCCGGUUCAUGGCGGGGGCAACCUGUUGUUGCAGCCAUGGGCGGAGUCGGGUUGUCGCCCGUCAUACCACGAUCUGAGCCUACCCCCCCCCCCCCCUUCUCUCUCUCUCUCUCUCUAGAUGUUUGGGCUUUAAGCAUACCAAACGGAUCCUAAGUAGGCUGUGACGAUGGAUUGAUGAGCACUGAUUGGUUCGGGCCUGGAGAAAUCUGACCGUUUCCUGCCGGUGCAACCUGUUGUUACAGUCACGGCGGCGGAGUCGGGUUUUCGCCGAUCAUACACAGAUCUGAGCCAACCCCCUCUCGUUAUAGAUGCUGGUGUUGUUACUUGAGUAGUAUUAUUUGUUGGAUUUCGAUUUUAUUGAUAUCUCUUGAUCUCUUCUGUGGUACAAAAAUAGGGGUUAAUUUAUUGAAUUUGAAACUGGGUUGCUGCGAUUAAAAUAACAAUCAAUGAAAAAAUUAUUUUAAAUAUUUUUUUCGACAAUACAUAGAUAUGAGCCUAACCCUUUUUUCUCUACGCAUAUAUAUUUUGGUUAUUGAUUUAUUUUUUUAUUAAAAAAACAUAUGUUAGAGUAUUCUCACAAGUCCAAUCGAAAUCUCUUUAUUUUAUUUUCAAGAAAUUUUUUUUCAAAAAAAUUAUUUUAUCACUUUCCGUAUUUACCAUAAACUUAGUGAGAUAUCUGAAAGUGCCAGUUCUUAGAAAUGGAUUGAUUGAGUUCAAAGAGAAUGGAAGAGGACUGGUUUUACAAUUAAGUUGGGGAGAAUGGUCCCCUUAUAAAAGAGAUCUAUAUGCAAAUUUCUUUUGAGUUUCAAAAAUCGAGCAAGGUCUAUUUUUGGAUUGCAUGAUGCUGUUAAGUAUUUUGGUAUAUUUUGACGAUAUAAAUUUAUAGGUCUUAUCAAGAAUUUUAAUUUUGUUAAAAUUAAAUAUAAACGGUAGAUAAUAUUAAUUUAUAUAAAAGUAAAUAAGUAUAAUUUAAUGUGUUCAUAUUCUGUUAUUGUACAGUACAAUUGAAACAACACAAUUUCAGUCAAGGUGUAUUUCAGACAAUUUCAGGCUAGGUGUAUUUCAGACGAGGUGUGUCCUUCAAGAAUCGAUCAAAAUUAACCAAUGAAAGUUUCAAAACUUAAAUUUUUUAACUUUUUUUAAAUAGAAGUAAAAGUUGUGAUAAAUAUAGUAUAAUUUUUAAAAUAGUUAACACAAAUUUUAAAAUAUAAAAAAAAUAAAAAUUACAGCAAAUUGACAAUUCUAACAAUAAUUUAAAUGGUCCCAUUUUGGAAAGUUAAGAAAAAGUGGCUUCGCUUGUAACUUUUGAUGAUUUUUUUCUUUCACGCAAUUGAUUUAGCUAAUACGAACUUGACUAUUGGUUGGCUAUGGCCACAAUGGUUGGGUAAAGCCAGUCCAUUCACCCACUUGGGCUCCAGAAUUAGAGUCCCCAGGGCCUAGACAACCCCAGAGAUGAAUGGGCUCUUAGGCCCCCCUAGAUCUGACCGCCCGAGUCUUGAGAGAUUAUUGGUAUUCUAAGAAACGUGUAUACUUUUUAUUCAUAAAAAUGACAUAUCUACACGUGUUAGUUCAUAAUUAAAUAAAAAAAAAUAUGCGUUACUAGUCAUAAAAAAUUUUUUUUUCCAGAAAAAAAAAAAAAAAAAAAAAUAAUAGAUACACCCAAUUAUACAAGUUAUCCAAAUGUAGAGCGUCAUUAUGAUUGUUCUAAAAGUACUAAAUAAUUUUUCUGAAGUUCUCACACCUUAUCAAUCCGUAAAUCUAAUUACCAGGCUACGUCUUGCUACACUCGAGGGGUGAGUGGGAAUGGCUGCUCUCUCAACCCCAAUUUCCUUAAAAUUGGACUACUUGAGUAGGAUGGAAGGCUGGCGUGACUUCUCUUAGGCUCCGUUUGGCACUAGUUUUUUUCAAUUUAAUUUAAUAUUAUAUUAAAAUUUUUACUUUUUUUCUUUUUGUUAGUUUUUGACUUAAAAUAAGCAAAAAGAAAUCAAUAAGAGUGGUUUAUUGUUUUUUUAUUUUUAUUUUUUUAUUUAGUUUUAGCUAAAAUAAAGUCACAAAAGCAUAAAAACUAAAAAAUCUUGACCUUUUUGAGCAAAUUUAAAAAAAACUUAGUUUUGAUGCAUUACCAAACAGAAACCUAGUCGAGACGCAUGAUCCUUUUUCAGUAUGGAGCCUUGCGAAGAAAGAGAGUGAUGAUAUACUGGAGUCUUGUCCAAAAAA
Molecule: long non-coding RNA, 2657 nt
Filed under: Actinidia chinensis (golden kiwifruit)
Lineage: Eukaryota; Viridiplantae; Streptophyta; Magnoliopsida; Ericales; Actinidiaceae
Description: long non-coding RNA (ACHI_LNC000271)
Source: RNAcentral